RNAcentral lists this ribosomal RNA (495 nucleotides) under uncultured bacterium. RNAcentral's name for it is "bacterial SSU rRNA". It matches the Rfam family "Bacterial small subunit ribosomal RNA", at positions 903 to 1397 of the family's 1533-position model. The record is from RNAcentral.
AAAGGAAUUGACGGGGGCCCGCACAAGCAGUGGAGCAUGUGGUUUAAUUCGAAGCAACGCGAAGAACCUUACCAGGUCUUGACAUCCCAUUGACCGGUAUAGAGAUAUACCUUUCCCUUCGGGGACAAUGGUGACAGGUGGUGCAUGGUUGUCGUCAGCUCGUGUCGUGAGAUGUUGGGUUAAGUCCCGCAACGAGCGCAACCCUUGAUCUUAGUUGCCAGCAUUCAGUUGGGCACUCUAAGGUGACUGCCAGUGACAAACUGGAGGAAGGUGGGGAUGACGUCAAAUCAUCAUGCCCCUUAUGACCUGGGCUACACACGUGCUACAAUGGAUGGUACAAAGGGCUGCGAGACCGCGAGGUUAAGCGAAUCCCAUAAAGCCAUUCUCAGUUCGGAUUGCAGGCUGCAACUCGCCUGCAUGAAGCCGGAAUUGCUAGUAAUCGUGGAUCAGCAUGCCACGGUGAAUACGUUCCCGGGCCUUGUACACACCGCCCGU